Molecule: ribosomal RNA, 521 nt
Filed under: uncultured bacterium
Lineage: Bacteria
Description: bacterial SSU rRNA
Rfam family: Bacterial small subunit ribosomal RNA
Source: RNAcentral
UAGUCCAUGCCGUAAACGUUGGGCACUAGGUGUGGGUCUCAACCAACGAGAUCCGCGCCGUCGCUAACGCAUUAAGUGCCCCGCCUGGGGAGUACGCUCGCAAGGGUAAAACUCAAAGGAAUUGACGGGGGAUCACACAAGCAGUGGAGCAUGUUGUUUAAUUCGAAGCAACGCGAAGAACCUUACCAGGCCUUGACAUGCAUGGAUUAGCUUCCUGAAAGGGAAGUGACGCCUCUUCGGAGGUGGAACAUGUGCAGGUGUUGCAUGGCUGUCGUCAGCUCGUGCCGUGAGGUGUUGGGUUAAGUCCCGUAACGAGCGAAACCUUUAUUGUUAGUUGCCAGCGGGUAAUGCCGGGGACUCUAGCGAGACUGCCGUUGUCAAACGGGGGAAGUGGGGACGACGUCAAGUCAUCAUGGCCCUUAUGGCCUGGGCUACAAACGUGCUACAAUGGUCCGUACAAAGGGUUCCGAAGCCGCGAGGUGUAGGCAAUCCCAUCAAAGCGGCCCAGUUCGGAUUGCAGG